Molecule: long non-coding RNA, 377 nt
Filed under: Capsicum annuum
Lineage: Eukaryota; Viridiplantae; Streptophyta; Magnoliopsida; Solanales; Solanaceae
Description: long non-coding RNA (CANN_LNC010758)
Source: RNAcentral
GAUUGUAUCAACGAAAGAGUGGUAAUUAGGCGGUGCAGAUAUCAACUGUAUUAAACAGGUAUUGGUUGGGUGUCAGCUGUAUCAAACAGAUAUCAGUCUAUAGAUAUAGUUUUGGCAUUUAUGAAACAUAGUACAAUUGUUGUAUCAUAUGGAAAAACUAUAGCGGGUAGAUAUCCAUUGUAUCGACGAAAGAGUUAUAAUUAGGCAACGCCGAUAUCAACUGUAUUUAGCAGGUAUUAGGCAGGUGGCAGCUGUAUCAAGCAAAUAUCAGUCUAUAGAUAUAGUUUGGGUAUUUAUGAAACGUAGUACAACUGUUGUAUCUUGUGGAAAAACUGUAUCGAGUAGAUAUCAGUUGUAUCAAUGAAAGAGUUAUAAUU